This 499-nucleotide ribosomal RNA is filed under the name uncultured Glomeromycotina. RNAcentral's name for it is "SSU rRNA". It matches the Rfam family "Eukaryotic small subunit ribosomal RNA", at positions 569 to 1074 of the family's 1831-position model. Lineage: Eukaryota; Fungi; Glomeromycota. The record is from RNAcentral.
AGCAGCCGCGGUAAUUCCAGCUCCAAUAGCGUAUAUUAAAGUUGCUGCAGUUAAAAAGCUCGUAGUUGAAUUUCGGGACCAUCAUGUCGGUCGUGCCUCGGUACGUACUGGUAUUGUUGGUUUCUCCUUCUGACGAACCAUGAUGUCAUUUAUUUGGUGUUGUGGGGAAUCAGGACUGUUACUUUGAAAAAUUAGAGUGUUUAAAGCAGGCUCACGCUUGAAUACAUUAGCAUGGAAUAAUGAAAUAGGACGUUUGAUUCUAUUUUGUUGGUUUCUAGGAUCGACGUAAUGAUUAAUAGGGAUAGUUGGGGGCAUUAGUAUUCAAUUGUCAGAGGUGAAAUUCUUGGAUUUAUUGAAGACUAACUACUGCGAAAGCAUUUGCCAAGGAUGUUUUCAUUAAUCAAGAACGAAAGUUAGGGGAUCGAAGACGAUCAGAUACCGUCGUAGUCUUAACCAUAAACUAUGCCGACUAGGGAUCGGAUGAUGUUAAUUUUAAUGA